RNAcentral lists this unclassified non-coding RNA (329 nucleotides) under Chytridiomycota sp. RNAcentral's name for it is "partial contains small subunit ribosomal RNA, internal transcribed spacer 1, and 5.8S ribosomal RNA". The stretch from base 1 to 47 matches the Rfam family "Eukaryotic small subunit ribosomal RNA", at positions 1785 to 1831 of the family's 1831-position model. Lineage: Eukaryota; Fungi; Chytridiomycota. The record is from RNAcentral.
AAAGUCGUAACAAGGUAACCGUAGGUGAACCUGCGGUUGGAUCAUUAAAAAAGAUCAGGGACGCUUGCGUCCUGGGCAAAACGCCUCGGCGUUUUCGACCACCCACCUUUUGUGCACCGUAAUUGUCUCUGGCGGCCGGACGCAGGACGGCCUCGAACACCCGCAAGGGUUCGAGAGGAGCGUUCUACCGUCUGUCAGCUCGGGCAACCGAGCCGUGGACAACCCGCCAACCACUUACUACCCACUCAUCACUUGUCUGACAUUGUCAUUUUGUACUUUGAAAACAAAUGUAUGAAAAACAACUUUUGGCAACGGAUCUCUUGGCUCUC